RNAcentral lists this ribosomal RNA (441 nucleotides) under uncultured bacterium. Its description in RNAcentral is "partial 16S ribosomal RNA". It matches the Rfam family "Bacterial small subunit ribosomal RNA", at positions 338 to 795 of the family's 1533-position model. The record is from RNAcentral.
CCUACGGGUGGCAGCAGUGGGGAAUAUUGCACAAUGGGGGAAACCCUGAUGCAGCAACGCCGCGUGAAGGAAGACGGUUUUCGGAUUGUAAACUUCUGUUCUUAGUGAAGAAUAAUGACGGUAGCUAAGGAGCAAGCCACGGCUAACUACGUGCCAGCAGCCGCGGUAAUACGUAGGUGGCAAGCGUUGUCCGGAAUUACUGGGUGUAAAGGGAGCGCAGGCGGGAAGCCAAGUCAGCUGUGAAAACUACGGGCUUAACUUGAGUGCUGCAUUUCAAACUGGAAGUCUAGAGUGCAGGAGAGGAGAAUGGAAUUCCUAGUGUAGCGGUGAAAUGCGUAGAGAUUAGGAAGAACACCAGUGGCGAAGGCGAUUCUCUGGACUGUAACUGACGCUGAGGCUCGAAAGCGUGGGGAGUAAACAGGAUUAGAUACCCUGGUAGUC